GACGGUACCUGAAGAAUAAGCACCGGCUAACUCCGUGCCAGCAGCCGCGGUAAUACGGAGGGUGCAAGCGUUAAUCGGAAUUACUGGGCGUAAAGCGUGCGCAGGCGGCUGAUUAAGUCGGAUGUGAAAGCCCCGGGCUCAACCUGGGAAUUGCAUUCGAUACUGGUCAGCUAGAGUCUGGUAGAGGUAAGCGGAAUUCCGGGUGUAGCGGUGAAAUGCGUAGAUAUCCGGAGGAACAUCAGUGGCGAAGGCGGCUUACUGGACCAAGACUGACGCUCAGGCACGAAAGCGUGGGUAGCAAACAGGAUUAGAUACCCUGGUAGUCCACGCCCUAAACGAUGUCAACUAGCCGUUGG
Molecule: ribosomal RNA, 356 nt
Filed under: uncultured Gammaproteobacteria bacterium
Lineage: Bacteria; Pseudomonadati; Pseudomonadota; Gammaproteobacteria
Description: bacterial SSU rRNA
Rfam family: Bacterial small subunit ribosomal RNA
Source: RNAcentral